UGGGGAAUUUUGGUCAAGGGGCGAAAGCCUGAUCCAGCAAUGCCGCGUGUGUGAAGAAGGCCUUCGGGUUGUAAAGCACUUUUGUCCGGAAAGAAAUGGCUCUGGUUAAUACCUGGGGUCGAUGACGGUACCGGAAGAAUAAGGACCGGCUAACUACGUGCCAGCAGCCGCGGUAAUACGUAGGGUCCAAGCGUUAAUCGGAAUUACUGGGCGUAAAGCGUGCGCAGGCGGUUGUGCAAGACCGAUGUGAAAUCCCCGAGCUUAACUUGGGAAUUGCAAUGGUGACUGCACGGCUAGAGUGUGUCAGAGGGGGGUAGAAUUCCACGUGUAGCAGUGAAAUGCGUAGAGAUGUGGAGGAAUACCGAUGGCGAAGGCAGCCCCCUGGGAUAACACUGACGCUCAUGCAAGAAAGCGUGGGGAACAAACAGG
This 429-nucleotide ribosomal RNA is filed under the name Bacillota bacterium. Its description in RNAcentral is "Firmicutes bacterium partial 16S ribosomal RNA". It matches the Rfam family "Bacterial small subunit ribosomal RNA", at positions 355 to 776 of the family's 1533-position model. Lineage: Bacteria; Bacillati; Bacillota. The record is from RNAcentral.